CCACAAUGCCUUCCGGACUCUUCUAUCGAUCAACCUUAUAUAGCGCCUUCCGAAUUCUACUAUCGGUCGACCUUCUAUCAGAUUUCUCAUGCAACCGAACCUCUCCAGCAGACAGUCUUCAGACAAGCUUCUAUAUCAGAUAAAUUCCAGAUGGACCUCUCUAGCAAUCAGACUCCAGCCGAAUUUCUCCAACAGAAAGUUUUCGUCCGGGCUUCUACAACAGAUGACUUUUGUCUACAGCAUCAAUGCCUAAGGGAUCCAAC
Molecule: long non-coding RNA, 263 nt
Filed under: Elaeis guineensis (African oil palm)
Lineage: Eukaryota; Viridiplantae; Streptophyta; Magnoliopsida; Arecales; Arecaceae
Description: long non-coding RNA (EGUI_LNC072578)
Source: RNAcentral